This 202-nucleotide long non-coding RNA is filed under the name Homo sapiens (human). RNAcentral describes it as "non-protein coding lnc-ACBD6-6:1". Lineage: Eukaryota; Metazoa; Chordata; Mammalia; Primates; Hominidae. The record is from RNAcentral.
AUAUAUAUUAUACAUAUAAAUAUAUAAAUAUUAUAUAUAAUAUAUAAAUAUUAUAUAUAAAUAUUAUAUAUAAUAUAUAAAUAUUAUAUAUAAUGUAUAAAUAUUAUAUAUAAAUAUAUAAAUAUUUAUAUAUAAAUAUAUAAAUAUUUAUAUAUAAAUAUAUAAAUAUUUAUAUAUAAAUACAUGAAUAUUAUAUAUAAAU